Molecule: ribosomal RNA, 461 nt
Filed under: uncultured bacterium
Lineage: Bacteria
Description: partial 16S ribosomal RNA
Rfam family: Bacterial small subunit ribosomal RNA
Source: RNAcentral
UGGGGAAUUUUGGACAAUGGGCGAAAGCCUGAUCCAGCAAUGUCGCGUGUGUGAAGAAGGCCUUCGGGUUGUAAAGCACUUUUGUCCGGAAAGAAAUCCUUGGCUCUAAUACAGUCGGGGAUGACGGUACCGGAAGAAUAAGCACCGGCUAACUACGUGCCAGCAGCCGCGGUAAUACGUAGGGUGCAAGCGUUAAUCGGAAUUACUGGGCGUAAAGCGUGCGCAGGCGGUUUGCUAAGACCGAUGUGAAAUCCCCGGGCUCAACCUGGGAACUGCAUUGGUGACUGGCAGGCUAGAGUAUGGCAGAGGGGGGUAGAAUUCCACGUGUAGCAGUGAAACUGCGUAGAGAUGUGGAGGAAUACCGAUGCGAAGGCAGCCCCUGGCCAAUACUGACGCUCAUGCACGAAAGCGUGGGGAGCAAACAGGAUUAGAUACCCUGGUAGUCCACGCCCUAAACGAUG